This is a small nuclear RNA of 195 nucleotides. It matches the Rfam family "U2 spliceosomal RNA". From Rfam's summary of the family: U2 is a small nuclear RNA (snRNA) component of the spliceosome (involved in pre-mRNA splicing). Complementary binding between U2 snRNA (in an area lying towards the 5' end but 3' to hairpin I) and the branchpoint sequence (BPS) of the intron results the bulging out of an unpaired adenosine, on the BPS, which initiates a nucleophilic attack at the intronic 5' splice site, thus starting the first of two transesterification reactions that mediate splicing. The record is from Rfam.
AUACCUUUCUCGGCCUUUUGGCUAAGAUCAAGUUUACUAUUUAUUCUUAUCAGUUUAAUAUCGGAUACGUGGGCCAUCAGCCCACAUGAUAUUAAAUUAAUUUUUGUAAGGAGAGGGUCCGCAACGGUAGCUUGCUAUCGGGUCCUCAAGCGUCGCUCUUGCAUUGCACCACUACAAGAGCCUGGCGCACCCCAU